UGAGUGCGAGCUGCUGCGGCAGCGAAGUUGGUGAUGUCAUGCUUCCAAGAAAAGCCCUAUACCCGUUAAGGCAUCAUGGCCUGUACCCGAAACCGACACAGGUGGGGUGGUAGAGAAUACCGAGGGGCGCGAGGUAACUCUCUCUAAGGAACUCGGCAAAAUGGCCCCGUAACUUCGGGAGAAGGGGUGCCACCGCAAGGUGGUCGCAGUGAAGAGGCCCAGGCGACUGUUUACCAAAAACACAGGUCUCCGCUAAGUCGCAAGACGAUGUAUGGGGGCUGACGCCUGCCCAGUGCCGGAAGGUUAAGGAAGCUGGUCAGCGCAAGCGAAGCUAGCGACUGAAGCCCCGGUGAACGGCGGCCGUAACUAUAACGGUCCUAAGGUAGCGAAAUUCCUUGUCGGGUAAGUUCCGACCCGCACGAAAGGCGUAACGAUCUGGGCGCUGUCUCGGAGAGAGGCUCGGCGAAAUAGAAUUGUCUGUGAAGAUGCGGACUACGUGCACCCGGACAGAAAGACCCUAUGAAGCUUUACUGUAGCUUGGUAUUGUGCCCGGGCUCGCAAUGCGCAGGAUAGGUGGGAGGCUUUGAUCAUCGGCUUGCGGGUCGAUGUGAGCCAACGGUGAGAUACCACUCUUUGCGAGCUAGGGUUCUAACGGCCACCCGUCAUCCGGGGGCCGGACAGUACCUGGUGGGCAGUUUGACGGGGGCGGUCGCCUCCUAAAAGGUAACGGAGGCGCGCAAAGGUUUGCUCAGGCUGGUUGGAAAUCAGCCGACGAGUGUAAAAGCAGAAGCAAGCUUGACUGUGAGACCAACAAGUCGAACAGGGAGGAAACUCGGCUUUAGUGAUCCGACGGUUCUGAGUGGAAGGGCCGUCGCUCAACGGAUAAAAGUUACUCUAGGAUAACAGGCUGAUCUCCCCCAAGAGUUCACAUCGACGGGGAGGUUUGGCACCUCGAUGUCGGCUCAUCGCAACCUGGGGCUGAAGUCGGUCCCAAGGGUUGGGCUGUUCGCCCAUUAAAGCGGUACGCGAGCUGGGUUCAGAACGUCGUGAGACAGUUCGGUCCAUAUCCGGUGCACGCGCAGGAAUAUUGAGAGGAUUUCUCCCUAGUACGAGAGGACCGGGAGGAACGCACCUCUGGUGUACCAGUUAUCGUGCCAACGGUAAACGCUGGGUAGCCAUGUGCGGAGUGGAUAACCGCUGAAAGCAUCUAAGUGGGAAGCCCACCUCAAGAUGAGUAUUCCCAUGGCGUAAGCCAGUAAGGUCACGGGAAGAACACCCGUUGAUAGGCUCUAUGUGGAAGCGCAGUAAUGCGUGAAGCAGAGGAGUACUAAUAGACCGAGGGCUUG
RNAcentral lists this ribosomal RNA (1346 nucleotides) under metagenome. RNAcentral's name for it is "bacterial LSU rRNA". It matches the Rfam family "Bacterial large subunit ribosomal RNA", at positions 1564 to 2925 of the family's 2925-position model. The record is from RNAcentral.